GCCGCUGUAGCUCAGUUGGAAGAGCAGCACGAGGUACGCCUGUGGACAGUCGACCGUUCGAGUCGGUCCAGCGGCU
Molecule: transfer RNA, 76 nt
Filed under: Pseudoflavonifractor sp. 524-17
Lineage: Bacteria; Bacillati; Bacillota; Clostridia; Eubacteriales; Oscillospiraceae
Description: tRNA-OTHER
Source: RNAcentral